Pteronotus mesoamericanus is the source of this 104-nucleotide small nuclear RNA. NCBI's taxonomy places the organism in Eukaryota, Metazoa, Chordata, Mammalia, Chiroptera, Mormoopidae. The record is from RefSeq and is a predicted model, not a curated record.
GCUUGCCUCAGCCAGCAUAUUCUAAAAUUGAAAUAAUACAGAGAAGAUUAGCAUGACCCCUGCACAAGAAAGGCAUGCAAAUUUGUGAAGUGCUCCAUAUUUUC